This is a long non-coding RNA of Gasterosteus aculeatus aculeatus (three-spined stickleback), 1804 nucleotides long. The record is from Ensembl. Lineage: Eukaryota; Metazoa; Chordata; Actinopteri; Perciformes; Gasterosteidae.
GCUGCGUUCCGCGGCAGCUAAGCGGCCGGUCUACAGGCCGGUACGGUAGCGUUACGUAUCAUAUAAAAAUAACAAAAAAAAAAAAAAAACUUUUGACCAGCGGCCGUCAAAGUUCUUUGAUGGCUGCAAUGCACGUUGGAAUGGAGCGGUUGUCGAGAGUUAGCAGCCGUGGGACAGAGUACUUGGGCUUCAUGCCGGUCGCCGAAGGUGUUAGCCCGGAGCUAGCCGUUAGCCCGGAGCUAGCCGUUAGCCCGGAGCUAGCCGUUAGCCAAACACGGAGACGGGAAGACUCGUCCGGCACAGGGGAGAAGACGGUCCGUAUUGUGGCAGUGGGCGAGGCACGGAGGACGGGCGGGAGGCAGCCGACAGCCAGCUACCAACGGCAGAGCGCUGGGACGAUGGAGAAAUCCGGGUGUUCGCCGCUGACAGCGGGAGGCGGCCAACAAUCCGCUGAUGUUGGAGGAGAUGUCGGGAGGAGUACGACGAGCUGCUGCAGACCUGCAAGGAGAAGCUGCAUGACUUGGGGCGUCCCUCUGUACGACUUUCCCUUCAGGCCUUCGGAGCAGACCCUGGGGGGACGCGACUCCCUGGGGGGACGCGACUCCCUGGGACCUGCCUCAAAAGAGCGAACCCGUCCGGGUGGCGUCCACUCGCCUCCAAGCUCCACCUGACCUCUCCAUCACUUGAUCACAUGACGUAAUGAAUGAUAAACCUUUAGGUGUUAAUAUGUAUUUUUACUUAUUUUAUUUGUUUACUCGCCCUGUUUCAUGUAAUGUGUCAGUCUGAUCGCAGGAAUUCAAAAAUUAUCGAUAAAGGAACCCAAAAACAUAUUAUUUUUAUAAAUCCAAGGUUUUGUAUAUAAAUAUUAAAUCUCUGAAGUUGUGACACACUUGUUUUAUUUAUUUUAGUUUAGUUUUUUUUUAUAGAGAUUAUUAGAUGAAUGUGAGUCACACACACACAUUUCAUUAGUUUGCAGAUGAUGUAUUUGUAUUCAUACACGUCUCAUUAUCUCUUUUUUUCUUAGAGAUUUUACAUCCAUGAUUUUAGAAACAUAAAAAAAUACAACUGAAAAUGUACAUCAUACAUGUGAUACAUAUACACGUUCUGUUUUUUUACAUAGUUAAAAAUAUGACUUAUAUAAAAAGGACAAACCAACGACUACGACCAUUUCUCUUUUUCGUUUUCACACAGUUAUUAUUUUGUGAAAUACACAUCAGGAGAUAAAUGAAGCGACUUCAGGCACUUUCCUUAAACAGCUGAACACACGACUGCGUCUGAAGACAGGGACAGACAGACAGACGGACGGGGACAGACUUCAUGUUGGACGCCUUCAGGCUUCGGCCUCGAGUCUCUGGACGUUUGAUAUAAAUUCUUUCUGAUUCACGCAUUUUGUGGCAUUUUGUCACUGACUUGAACCCUGGUGGACGGAUAGCACUGGUCCCACUGUAACGCUUUCACAGCACACCAGUUCAACGAGAAACGCUCACAAUUAUUACAAAAAAAAUCCACUGCUUUGUGUUUUUAUAUGAAAAUCUGUUGAUCUUCGUGUGCUUCAGAAGCCACAAGUUUAAGCCGAUGGCGACGACGAGUUCGGCAUCAUGACGCGUUCGACCUACGAGAACAUUUUGUAUUUCCGUUGAGCUCCGCCUCCUCCUGAAUAUUCAUUACUGCCUUUUAAAACUUUUAACUUUUAAGAAAAAAAUACUAAAAAGAUAUUUGUUUGAUAUGAGUAUCAGUUGCUUUAUUUGGGACCGUAGGACUUUAGUUGCUUAAAUUAUUCAUGUUCAUUGAAAGAAACUUUAGA